CCUACGGGCGGCUGCAGUGAGGAAUAUUGGUCAAUGGUCGGGAGACUGAACCAGCCAAGCCGCGUGAGGGAUGAAGGUACAGAGUAUCGUAAACCUCUUUUGUCAGGGAACAAAGGCGGGGACGUGUCCCCGUAUGCGUGUACCUGAAGAAAAAGCAUCGGCUAACUCCGUGCCAGCAGCCGCGGUAAUACGGAGGAUGCGAGCGUUAUCCGGAUUUAUUGGGGUUAAAGGGUGCGCAGGCGGUCUUGUAAGGCAGCGGUCAAAGCCCGGGGCUCAACCCCGGCCUCGCCGUUGAAACUGGAAGUCUCGAGGUGGAGAGAGGUAUGCGGAAUGCGCGGUGUAGCGGUGAAAUGCAUAGAUAUCGCGCAGAACUCCGAUUGCGAAGGCAGCAUGCCGGCUCCACACUGACGCUGAGGCACGAAAGCGUGGGGAUCGAACAGGAUUAGAUACCCUAGUAGUC
This 460-nucleotide ribosomal RNA is filed under the name uncultured bacterium. RNAcentral describes it as "partial 16S ribosomal RNA". It matches the Rfam family "Bacterial small subunit ribosomal RNA", at positions 338 to 795 of the family's 1533-position model. The record is from RNAcentral.